AUGAAAUGAAGAAAACACCAAUCCAUUCAAUGAUACUUGAUACAGUUGGUUACUUACUGAAGUUGAGCAGUCUUGCCGCAACGAACGCAGGAUAGCAGUGCUGCCGAUUCCUUCGUAUCUCCAUCCAUACUCGGUAUUUCCUUUUUGAAUGAGGAGAGGAAAUGAUCGAAUCAGGAUCCAAAUUUCAAAUAAACUACACAAUCGAGAACAAAAAGAAGAUCGGAAAUGAAAAACGAGAAAAAAUUACUGGAACUGCACGACUACGCCGAUGAGUGAACGACGACGAAUCACGACGGCUAGGGCUUUUGGUUCGGUUCGUGCCGGGAAGAAAAAAAAAUCUUUAGAUCGAU
This 350-nucleotide long non-coding RNA is filed under the name Zostera marina. RNAcentral's name for it is "long non-coding RNA (ZMAR_LNC002542)". The record is from RNAcentral. Lineage: Eukaryota; Viridiplantae; Streptophyta; Magnoliopsida; Alismatales; Zosteraceae.